ACUUUACAAAUUAGUCCUAUUUCACAUCUAACCUUAAAAUCUAUCACAAUAAUACCUUAAACUUCAACCAUUCAAAUAAGGUAACAUAGUCAAAUUUGAAAAAGAAAAAAAAUUACAACAUAGGUCAGCUAGCUUGUAGUAUCGGGAUUCCAAAAACGUAAAAAUUACAAAAAAAAAACAAAAUUGCACUAACCAAUUUUG
This 201-nucleotide long non-coding RNA is filed under the name Gossypium raimondii (Peruvian cotton). RNAcentral's name for it is "long non-coding RNA (GRAI_LNC003818)". The record is from RNAcentral. Lineage: Eukaryota; Viridiplantae; Streptophyta; Magnoliopsida; Malvales; Malvaceae.